UACGUAGGUGGCAAGCGUUGUCCGGAAUUAUUGGGCGUAAAGCGCGCGCAGGCGGUUUCUUAAGUCUGAUGUGAAAGCCCACGGCUCAACCGUGGAGGGUCAUUGGAAACUGGGAAACUUGAGUGCAGAAGAGAAGAGCGGAAUUCCACGUGUAGCGGUGAAAUGCGUAGAGAUGUGGGGGAACACCAGUGGCGAAGGCGGCUCUUUGGUCCGUAACUGACGCUGAGGCGCGAAAGCGUGGGGAGCGAACAGG
This 253-nucleotide ribosomal RNA is filed under the name uncultured bacterium. RNAcentral's name for it is "partial 16S ribosomal RNA". It matches the Rfam family "Bacterial small subunit ribosomal RNA", at positions 524 to 776 of the family's 1533-position model. The record is from RNAcentral.